RNAcentral lists this ribosomal RNA (776 nucleotides) under uncultured Neocallimastigales. RNAcentral describes it as "partial large subunit ribosomal RNA". It matches the Rfam family "Eukaryotic large subunit ribosomal RNA", at positions 24 to 647 of the family's 3401-position model. Lineage: Eukaryota; Fungi; Neocallimastigomycota; Neocallimastigomycetes; Neocallimastigales. The record is from RNAcentral.
GUAGUCUCGCACAGAUGCAUAUCAAUAAGCGGAGGAAAAGAAACUAACAAGGAUUCCCCUAGUAACGGCGAGUGAAGCGGGAAGAGCUCAAAUUUGAAAUCUUAAAGGGUUUCCCUUUACGAAUUGUAGUUUAAAGAAGUGUUUUCUGUUGAGGUUUUGGUAAAAGUUCUUUGGAAUAGGACAUCAUAGAGGGUGAGAAUCCCGUAUUUGACCUUUACUUUCAACUUUGUGAUACACUUUCAAAGAGUCGGAUUGUUUGGGAAUGCAGUCCAAAAUGGGUGGUAAAUUUCAUCUAAAGCUAAAUAUUGGCGAGAGACCGAUAGCGAACAAGUACCGUGAGGGAAAGAUGAAAAGAACUUUGAAAAGAGAGUUAAACAGUACGUGAAAUUGUCAAAAGGGAAGCGUUUGACACCAGUGUUGUUUUUCUGAAAAUCAAUUAAAGAACUGUUUAUGCUAAGUUGUUUAGACUUUAUCAGCUAUCUGCUUAGUUUUGAGCUUUUCUUUAAUGCACUUUUCAGUUAACAAGUCAACAUCAAUUUCUUUUGCUGUAAAAAAGCUUGAGGAAGGUGGCUUGAGAUUCGUCUUAAGUGUUUAUAGCCUCUUGCCUAUGCAGUCGGAGAGAUUGAGGUCUGCAGCGUAGAUCCUUCGGGGCUAAAUGCAUUUGUGCUAAGUUAUAGCAUUUUAUAGACAACUUGUUGACUACUGAUUUGUCUUGUAGGCUUACUCGCUUAUGUUAUUUUACCUACGCUUAGGAUGUUGACGCAUGAGAUAUACGC